UCUAUUUGAAGGUAUAAAAAGUCUAGCCUGCCCACUGAUAAAAAUUUAAGGGCCGCGGUAUUAUGACCGUGCAAAGGUAGCAUAAUCAUUAGGUUUUUAAAUGGGAUCUUGUAUGAAUGGUUGGACAAAGUAAAAUCUGUCUUUAUAUUAAAAUUUGAAUUUUACUUUUAAGUGAAAAGGCUUAAAUAUUUUAAUGGGACGAUAAGACCCUAUAAAGCUUUAUAUUAUAUUUAUAUUUAGUUGAAAUUUUAAAAUAAGAAUUUAAUAUAAAUAUUUAUUAUGUUGGGGAGACAAAAGUAAAAAUUAUAUUAACUACUUAAUAUAUAAACAUUAUUAGUGAAUAUAAAUUUAUAGAUCCUAAUUAUAGAUUUAAAGAUUAAGUUACUUUAGGGAUAACAGUGUAAUUUUUUUUGAGAGUUCAUAUCGAAAAAAAAGUUUACAACCUCGAUGUUGAAUUAAAAUAUCUAUAUAAUGUAGNUGUUAUAUUAGAAGGUCUGUUCGACCUUUAUAUA
Molecule: ribosomal RNA, 512 nt
Filed under: Sundathelphusa tenebrosa
Lineage: Eukaryota; Metazoa; Arthropoda; Malacostraca; Decapoda; Parathelphusidae
Description: partial 16S ribosomal RNA
Rfam family: Bacterial large subunit ribosomal RNA
Source: RNAcentral